UAUACUCUACCAAUAAAAAAUAAUCUAAAUAAUAAUAUUUUAUUCCAAAGUGCGCGUCAUCCGCACUAAUUUCGUCCACAACUUUAAUCAAACGUGGCGGCCUCUAAUCCUCGUCUUCUGCUUGAAUCAUAGUCAAUAUCAUCUUUCCACGUGGCGGAUUUUCCAUGUGCCAUCUCAUCAAUCAAACAGAAUACGUUUGACAGUGGUCCCUCACCGUUUGUGAGGAUAGCCUUU
This 234-nucleotide long non-coding RNA is filed under the name Actinidia chinensis (golden kiwifruit). Its description in RNAcentral is "long non-coding RNA (ACHI_LNC003633)". The record is from RNAcentral. Lineage: Eukaryota; Viridiplantae; Streptophyta; Magnoliopsida; Ericales; Actinidiaceae.